This 472-nucleotide ribosomal RNA is filed under the name uncultured bacterium. RNAcentral describes it as "bacterial SSU rRNA". It matches the Rfam family "Bacterial small subunit ribosomal RNA", at positions 355 to 825 of the family's 1533-position model. The record is from RNAcentral.
UGGGGAAUUUUGGACAAUGGGCGCAAGCCUGAUCCAGCCAUACCGCGUGAGUGAAGAAGGCCUUCGGGUUGUAAAGCUCUUUCAGACGGAAAGAAACGGUUACGGCUAAUACCCGUGACUAAUGACGGUACCGUAAGAAGAAGCACCGGCUAACUACGUGCCAGCAGCCGCGGUAAUACGUAGGGUGCGAGCGUUAAUCUGAAUUACUGGGCGUAAAGCGUGCGCAGGCGGUUUGGUAAGACAGAUGUGAAAUCCCCGGGCUUAACCUGGGAACUGCAUUUGUGACUGCCAGACUAGAGUGUAGCAGAGGGGGGUAGAAUUCCACGUGUAGCAGUGAAAUGCGUAGAUAUGUGGAGGAAUACCGAUGGCGAAGGCAGCCCCCUGGGCUAACACUGACGCUCAUGCACGAAAGCGUGGGGAGCAAACAGGAUUAGAUACCCUUGUAGUCCCUGAGCGGGCUGGCAAGGCGCAU